CGGAUGCCGAUCUCGAAAACCUGUCCCAGUUCGGACUGGAGUCUGCAACCCGACUCCACGAAGUUGGAAUCGCUAGUAAUCGCGGAUCAGCAUGCCGCGGUGAAUACGUUCCCGGGCCUUGUACACACCGCCCGUCACACCAUGAGAGUUUGUAACACCCAAAGCCGGUGGGGUAACCUUUUGGAGCCAGCCGUCUAAGGUGGGACAGAUGAUUGGGGUGAAGUCGUAACAAGGUAAC
Molecule: ribosomal RNA, 238 nt
Filed under: uncultured bacterium
Lineage: Bacteria
Description: partial 16S ribosomal RNA
Rfam family: Bacterial small subunit ribosomal RNA
Source: RNAcentral